This is a long non-coding RNA of Ailuropoda melanoleuca (giant panda), 4126 nucleotides long. RefSeq lists it as uncharacterized. The transcript is spliced from 3 exons. Lineage: Eukaryota; Metazoa; Chordata; Mammalia; Carnivora; Ursidae. The record is from RefSeq and is a predicted model, not a curated record.
GUGAAGCGCCGGGUGAAGGUUUCCACUCAGAAAGAAGUGAAUUGUGUGAGAAUUGUUCAGGCUUUUAGGUUAGAAAACGCAAUCUAGAAAGUAGAUUAAUAUUCGCAUGCCUGACAAACGUCCCUACUCUGAGCGCUCAGUGACUGCUUCUAGAAUACCUUAAGCACACAUCUAAUAAAGGAUUUUCGGUGAAUAUUAGCGACAGCACCAAGAAGAAAAACAACAUGCCUGUGCCGGGCGCUGUCCGCUCUCUUUCAUCUUCCACCCGCUGGAACCUUCUGGCAAGAAGGGGAGGAGGAUGACUCGAGCAAAAAAGGAAGAGAGUUUGCACCACUGGGUGGACUACCAAAGCUGUACUCUCAGGAGGAAGAGAUUUUCCCCCAGUGAGAUAAUCAAGCUUUUCUCAACUUCAGCAGAUUCUCAGAGGACCCAGCUUCAACAAGGAAUCCAAAGAAAGCUGUUAGCAUUGCCUAUUUGUGCUGCUGAUUGGAAUCUGGGCUUCCAUAAAUUUUAAGCCAGCUUGAUCAGCAAAUUGAAGCAUAGUCUGGAUCUGAAGUAUUUUAAGUGCAAGUACUUGGAGGAGCUGCUUCCUGGGAGAGCAGUGAGAAGGGCAACGUGGGGACAGCCUUUGUCCUCCAUUCAACCUUCAACUGUAUCUGAUGAGAACCUACGAUAAGAAAGGAAAAGAAUCUCCAUCUUUGGCUCCGAUUGUUCCAUAAAUACUUUUUUGGUCUUCACAGAGGGGCAAGGUAUAGGGAGAGAAGGAACUUGCAAUAAUACCCACCUUAGAAGUUAGAGGACAUGACUAAAAUUCUUCAAGAUAUUUUUGUUGUUUUUUUCCAUCUGUUCAGAGAGUCUGAAGAACUGGCCAUGCUUAGUUCAUUAAUAAUUUAACAAAUAUUUCUUGAGCACUUAAAUGUGCCAGUACUGGAGAUAAAAAUACUAAUAAAUCAUAGAAAUCUGUGGGGAUGGGAACAGGGAGAGUAGAGGCAGAGAGAAAUAGACACAAAUGGAAUACUUGAUCAUUUCAAUGCUGUGUGUUAGACAAAUGCACACAUAUAUGGAUAUAUUUGCAAGUGUAUAUGUUAAUGUGGACAAAUAUAGAUGUAUUUAUAUGUGGGUAUGUACAUAUAUAUGUGUAUAUAUGCAUAUAGAUAUAUAUCUCUCAUAUGUAUAUGUAAAAUACCAGGUACUAAUUGUAUGUAAAUUACUGUGUUGAUUAUAUUACAAACAUUAUCACACUUAAUAUUCACCCAAAAGGGUUGUUUUAAGGAUUGUCAUUUCCAAAUUAUAAAGGAGGAGAAUGGAGACUCAGAGAAUACAAGACUUUCCUAAAGUCAAAAAGCUGGUAAGUGCAGUUAUGGGAUUAAAUGCAGGUGGGCCUGGUGCCAAGCCUCUGUUCUCAGCCACUUCACUGGACUUCCUAUCAUAUGAAAGAGACACAGAAGAAUAGAGGUAAUGUCUGAGGUUUUGUGUUUUAUUUUGUUUUAGGUAUCUGUCUUUUGCAUAGAUAUUAAAUUCACAUGACUCAAAACUCAACAUUAAAGCACAUGGUGGGAAGUUUGCUCCCGUAUUGACUACUCUCUACUUCCAACCCUCUACACCAUCCUUGUCCAAAAGAAAAAACUUUUGUAGUUCCUUGUUGUUAUUCGAGAGUCCCCGUACACAAAUGCGUUUAUCCCUCCCCUUCCAUUACACAGAGAGGUACACUAUACACAUUGUUCUGCAACUUGAUUUUUAAAUUUAAUGAUGUAUCUUAGAAAUAUUUCCAUGUCAGAAUAUAGUGUCCUCAUUCUUUCUUACAGCACUAUAACAUCAUAUGAUAUGGAUGUACCAUAAUUUAUUUAAAUGUUCCAUUCCCAAUUUGAUGGACAUUUCUGGGUACUAUCUUGACCAGUCUACCUUAUAGAAUUCUCUUACUGCUGGUAAUAAUUUUUCUAUUGUUUCUUUUGGGUUUUCCUGGAUCACAAUAUUCUUUCCAAAUAUUAUACUUCUGAAUUCAUUUUCUUGUAUCAUGUCAUUGGCUAUUACAAGACCCGAGUUUUUAAAGGAAAAGGGCUUAGUCAAAAAGAGGAUUGGUAUCUGAGGCAGGGAAAACAUCAACACAAGGAUAUGAAACACCGUGAUUGGUACUGAGAAAUACAGGAAAUCAGAAAUAUUACGAUGUAAAAUAAUACAAGAUGAGAUGUAGAAGGAAUAAAGGGGAACACAUGCUGUAAGGGAAUGGGGCUAUAUGAAGAUGGGAAGUGUUUGCAAUGAGGGACGUGACAAGAUCAAGCAAUAGUAAGACAGAUCCAUUGAAGGCGGCAAACCUCAGGGAACUCUUUAAUGAUUCCAGGUGAAACAUGAUCAAGGUAAACAAUGUUGGCAGGGAGAGAAAAGGGUAAUAACAAUACUUAGCAGAUAAAACUGGCAAGCCUUGAUGAUGCAGAGGCAUGGAGAUGGAGAUUCUGGUUGGACAGAUGAUGUCUGUAAGCCAGAUAAGGUGUGCAGGUGGAGGAAUAAGUUGUAGAAGGAAGACGAGAAAUUUGACUUUCAAAAUGAUAAUCUUAAGAUAUACUUCACUAAAUAAAGGGUACUGUGGUACCCCAGCUUUACUACCUGAUGGCCAGAUGGGUGUGUUGAUCUCUUAUUUGAUAAGUCAUAGAGCUUGGACCUAAAUGCAGCUUUCUUAAUCCCAAAAUCAGCAAUCAUUCCACUGUGCGUGCUGCUUUUGAAAUCAGCGGAGCAUGUGAAAGAACAUAAUUGAAAACAAGCACAGCUAAUUAAAAUGAGAAGAAAAAAACUGCAAGAGAGAAUAGUAGACAGAGUGUGCUACGUAGACAGACUGGGACCACAUAGCAGAAUCCCAACAUUUGGGGCUUUGACCCAGUCUAGGUGACCCAAAUUUAGAGAAUACAACAGAAAAUAAUAGCUUUUUUUAAGAUUAUGCACAUUUUGAGUAAUCCCCUUACACCAUCUCUGUUGAGGUCAUCUACCAUGAGCUCUGAACAUCCCCACACAUGCUUGCUUGGUGUAUCAAGAAACCAAGGCCCUGGCCACACUUUACCUAGUCUUAGAGUGUGUUUGCAAAGAGCAACCUUGAGGAAUGAGAUAAUGUCUCUCUCUGGGACAAAGCGGAGGCCAUUUACUCUGACUAUAAAACAGUGGGUUCCCCAGGCACAGUGUCCUCUGCUGUAAUGCAGCUCCCUGUAUGUACACAUGGCCAUCUGGUCCCCUCUGCGUUGCUCCUGUGAGACUCGGUAGGGGUGAGAGCGAGAGGAACACAUGCAAAUGUGCUGGGGGUGAUGCUGCUUGCUGUGCCUGAGUAUUAAAGUCCCUUCUCUCUGAAGUAUGAGUACAUAUCUUCUGCCAGUAUUCAUGAAAGAGUCAAAGACUAAUUGAUUAGCUUAGAAAUAAGAUAAAGUCAUAUCCUAGAUCCUGACCAUCCCUGCCCUGACAAUUUUGAGUCAUGGUACUCAGUUUGCCCUUAUCAGCUCCUGAGAGCCCCCUUAGCAGCCAAGAGAUAGUUAUGUAAGAAAAAACAAGGUGAGAGAGCCCACAUGGCCCAGGCCCCUUGGUGCUUGAGCAGGGCCCCCCCACCAAGCCUUCUCCCUUCAUCCUCAUUGUUUCUUCAUGAUAUGAGAGGAUGUCAUAGCUUGUGGACCUGUCAUUAUGAAUUUUGUUUCUCAUCAACAGAGGGAGUGAGGCAGGAUUGUUCAGGGUCUUUCUAAAAGCUCAGCACUGAAUUUCCACUUAACCACUUCUGUAUUUCUGUCUCUCCAGUUUACUGAUUGUGCUCCCCACCGUGACCUUUUGCUAUGCCACUGGCAUCAAUCAAUGUGCCAGAAUCACCAUUACUGAUAGGAUCAGAGAGAGCAGAGAUCUGAGAGAGGAAAUGCAGAGCCAACGCAGGAAUGUAUAGCAAUCCAUUAAUUGCUUUCUCGUUAUUUUUAUAACACUUUCCCCAUGGUAAGUAAUCCUUUGCUUUGGCCUGAGACCCAAAAGGCCUCUCACAGCCACAGGAAAAAGUGUAAAUCAGAAAUAAACCAGGGGCGCAUAAGUGGCUCAAUCGUUAAGAGUCUGCCUUCGGCUCAGGGUGUGAUUCCACAGUCCUGGGAUCGAGCCCCACGUCAGGCUCCUCCAC